RNAcentral lists this long non-coding RNA (444 nucleotides) under Capsella rubella. RNAcentral describes it as "long non-coding RNA (CRUB_LNC001396)". Lineage: Eukaryota; Viridiplantae; Streptophyta; Magnoliopsida; Brassicales; Brassicaceae. The record is from RNAcentral.
UCAACCAAGUGAUUUUUGUGUUAAGUAACUUAGAUGUACAUGUGUCUUAAGCGGGAGUAAUAAAAAGAAAAACAAAGGUUGCAUUGUAUGUAUGUAAUUAUGUAUCACAGUUAAAAACACCAAAGAGGUUCGUCUUCUCCUAAGCGAGAGCCUUCUACUUCUUCAUCUUCUUCUUCUUCUCCAUCUCCAUCUUCUUCUUUAGAGCAACCCUCUUAGGACCUAAUGGAGAGUAUAACAAGGAAACUAAUGAGAGAGGUUUUAAUUUGUUAGCAAGAAUCAAGUAUAGCAAGAGCAAAUUUAUGAACCUGGGGUCAUAAGACAUAAAGUCAGUAAUAUUGGUGCGGCCUCCUGGGAGCAUAUAGCGAGUAGUAUUGGUGGAGCGUCUUCUUUUGACCAGCAAAACAGGUCUAACUACAAGUGUCAUUCCUCCCAGUUAGUUCUAGC